This 323-nucleotide long non-coding RNA is filed under the name Sorghum bicolor (sorghum). Its description in RNAcentral is "long non-coding RNA (SBIC_LNC001442)". The record is from RNAcentral. Lineage: Eukaryota; Viridiplantae; Streptophyta; Magnoliopsida; Poales; Poaceae.
CUGUGUGUUUUAUUUUUAUACAGUGUAUAUCAAGGUCCCGUUUUUUUUAUUAGUACAUCAAGGUCCCGUUGAGCACAACUCAACUUUGCCAAUGAAACUUUUUUUUGAAAAAUACUUCCACAAAUUGUUUUCUCGGUGAAGCUAAGUUGUUUCAGAAAAACUCUUGGCAAUAGACAAAAAAGAAUAAAAGACCCUAAUACCAUUAUAUUUUUUUGUUUUUUCUACUCUAUCUACGAGUUUUAUUUUUAUACGGUGUAUAUCAAGGUCCCAUUUAACACAACUCAACUUUACCUAAGUUGCUUCAGAAAAACUCUUGGCAAAAC